CUUAUCAUUUAGAGGAAGGAGAAGUCGUAACAAGGUUUCCGUAGGUGAACCUGCGGAAGGAUCAUUGUCGAAACCUGCCCAGCAGACGACCCGCGAACACGUAUGUAAAUCUCUGGCAAGCAAGCAGUGGCCCAAAAGCCCUGAUUGCUGCCCACUGUUGGGGGUUGCGCCCUGAGCCUGUAGAGGCAACGCGUGCACUCCUCGACAGAUUAACGAAACCCCGGCGCAAACCGCGCCAAGGAACUUUUAAAAAGAGAGCUCGCCCUUGAUGCCCCGUUCGCGGGUGCUAGGGGGCAGUGGCGUCUUUCACGAAUCCAAACGACUCUCGGCAACGGAUAUCUCGGCUCUCGCAUCGAUGAAGAACGUAGCGAAAUGCGAUACUUGGUGUGAAUUGCAGAAUCCCGUGAACCAUCGAGUUUUUGAACGCAAGUUGCGCCCGAAGCCAUUAGGUUGAGGGCACGUCUGCCUGGGCGUCUCACAUCGCGUCGUUCCCAUCGCCCCGCCCAAGUUAGGUGUCGGUGUUUGGGUACGGAUAUUGGCCCCCCAUGCGCUCGUGUGCGUGGUCGGCCUAAAAAUGAGUCCCUGGCGAUGCAUGUCACGACAAGUGGUGGUUGACAAGCCGUUGCGUCCUGUCUUUGCAUGCUUCGUCGCCAAGGGUUUCUCCACUGACCCUUAAGUGCCGUUGAAACGGUGCCUCGACCGCGACCCCAGGUCAGGCGGGACUACCCGCUGAGUUUAAGCAUAUCA
RNAcentral lists this unclassified non-coding RNA (747 nucleotides) under Symplocos sumuntia. RNAcentral describes it as "partial contains small subunit ribosomal RNA, internal transcribed spacer 1, 5.8S ribosomal RNA, internal transcribed spacer 2, and large subunit ribosomal RNA". The stretch from base 321 to 476 matches the Rfam family "5.8S ribosomal RNA". The record is from RNAcentral. Lineage: Eukaryota; Viridiplantae; Streptophyta; Magnoliopsida; Ericales; Symplocaceae.